This is a long non-coding RNA of Rattus rattus (black rat), 570 nucleotides long. RefSeq lists it as uncharacterized. The record is from RefSeq and is a predicted model, not a curated record. NCBI's taxonomy places the organism in Eukaryota, Metazoa, Chordata, Mammalia, Rodentia, Muridae. The transcript is spliced from 2 exons.
CCAGAGAGCCUCGGGCACUUGUGCAACUGGGAGACUUGGAGACGGGCUCUUCUCUAAAGUGAAUGAAGAAACAGCCAAGCCAGAUUUCAGAACGGACUCCACAAAACCAUGAGAAGCAUGGGAGCCGUGCACACUUGUUACAGAUGAAUCAAGAUACGAUGACCUGAUCCGCAGGACAAUAAACAGGUCCUCACAACUGAGCACAGUGCAAACAUCUCCUUCGAAAUGUGGGACUUGUAAAACUAUCAUUUUAAUUCACUCUGUCUGGUAGGGUUCAGAGUCAAGCUCUAGCAGUUAGGAACAGAGACCCUUUGAAGUGUCAUUUGACACCUCUGAGUCACGGUCUGGACCUUUACGAAAGGUGAUUCGAACUAGGGCUUCCCUACAACUUCCUGGAAAAUGAACUAAAACCAUGAGCAAAGUGACGAUGGCACCCUGCUGGGACUUCUGGCCUACAACAGGUUUUGUGCCAUGAAGGUCUACAGUUACCAUAAAGGCAGAAUCAACAGACAGAGCACAGAUAUCGAAUGUCUAUCCUACAAAUAAGUGAUUAAACGGUAACAAUAAAAC